UAACGACUCUCGGCAACGGAUAUCUCGGCUCUCGCAUCGAUGAAGAACGUAGCGAAAUGCGAUACUUGGUGUGAAUUGCAGAAUCCCGUGAACCAUCGAGUCUUUGAACGCAAGUUGCGCCCGAAGCCAUUANGCCGAGGGCACAUCUGCCUGGGCGUCACGCA
Molecule: ribosomal RNA, 164 nt
Filed under: Phryma leptostachya subsp. leptostachya
Lineage: Eukaryota; Viridiplantae; Streptophyta; Magnoliopsida; Lamiales; Phrymaceae
Description: 5.8S ribosomal RNA
Rfam family: 5.8S ribosomal RNA
About the family: 5.8S ribosomal RNA (5.8S rRNA) is a component of the large subunit of the eukaryotic ribosome.
Source: RNAcentral